Molecule: ribosomal RNA, 253 nt
Filed under: uncultured bacterium
Lineage: Bacteria
Description: partial 16S ribosomal RNA
Rfam family: Bacterial small subunit ribosomal RNA
Source: RNAcentral
UACAGAGGUGGCAAGCGUUGUUCGGAAUUACUGGGCGUAAAGGGCGCGUAGGCGGCUCGACAAGUCCCGCGUGAAAGCCCCCGGCUCAACUGGGGAACUGCGCGGGAAACUGUCGGACUUGAGUUCGGGAGAGGGAAGCGGAAUUCCGGGUGUAGCGGUGAAAUGCGUAGAUAUCCGGAGGAACACCGGUGGCGAAGGCGGCUUCCUGGACCGACACUGACGCUGAGGCGCGAAAGCAUGGGGAGCGAACAGG